RNAcentral lists this unclassified non-coding RNA (1244 nucleotides) under Hevea brasiliensis (rubber tree). Lineage: Eukaryota; Viridiplantae; Streptophyta; Magnoliopsida; Malpighiales; Euphorbiaceae. The record is from RNAcentral.
GGACUUUUCAAGAAGGUAAGGAUUUUCAGUGAUAUGGCACUACAACAGGUCGGGAGUAUACUCAGUUAGAUUAGGCUAUCAUCUCUUGGUGGAUAAGGUAGACAAUCUAUUAGGCAUAUUACUAGUAGGUCUCUUUGCAUUUUGCAACAUAUUUGGAGAAAAUUAUGGAAUCUUUCCCAGCAGCCAAAGUUAAAAGUUUUUGAGUGGAAAAGCUUUACUAACGGCAUUGUUGCUUAGAGAUAAUCUUGCUCAUAGAGGUCUUCCCCUUAAUCCUAUAUGUCCUAUCUGUAAUGUAGAGCCUGAAUUUGUUAAGCAUAUGUUAUUUUGGCAUAGUUUUCUAACUACUCUAAUUAUAAGCAUAAUGCGGUACGCUUUAAUUCCUUCGCCUAAUUUUGCCCAAUCCAAUGUCAACUAUUCAUCAAAUCAAGUUUUGACAAAUGGAUCAUCAAGUUCUGCCAAAUGGAUUAUCAAGUCUUACUCCUUCUGCAAAUUCUCAAAAUUAUAGAGGUAAUACCCCUCCUCACAUUGAUUCUUGGUGCUCGCAUCCUGAUGGAGUGCUGAAAUUCAAUAGUGACGUCUCUCAGAAAGAAAAUCCCCCCUAUGCAGUAGCAAGGUUUAUUGUUAGGAACCAUAGAAGCAAGUUGGUUAAUUGUUUGGCCUAUGAUAUUCAAGCAACCUCUCCUCUAGUUAGCCAAGCUUUAGCCCUUCUUAAAGCAGCCAAUCUUGCUAUCUCUAUGGGUGCAAAAUCAGUUAUCCUAGAAACAAAUUCAAAGUUCCUUCAUUCUUCCAUUCUUGGUCAAAAUAUGUUAUUCAGUGACUUUAAUUUUUUCUUAAUCAUGAAGAAUUUUUUUUUAGCCUUGAAAUAUAAAGCUGGAGCCAAGUCUUAUCUUUGAAGUAAUAUGAUUGUAUGUGCAAUUUAGACUCAUUUAAGCUUAAGAAAUCCAAUGACUUGGUGCCAUGUUAUCUUUGACUUGCUCAAAGAUUUCACCUUAGCUUUGAAAGAAGGAAAAUGCAGCUCGACCAAUAGUUGGCACAAAGUUCCCAACUUUCUUUGGCAUAAAAAGGGACAGCCUUGUAUUGUUAUAAAUAGGGCCAAGGUUUCACAUUUGUUGUAACCCAAUUUUUGUGAGAUGAGAGCUAAGAGAAAAUUAGAGAGAAUUUUCUCUAAAUCUUUUGUGAAGUUUUGGGUAUAAUUGGGUUUGAGGGUUAUAAGUGAUUUGUAAGUGAGAAAAAUAUUUAGUACA